AAACCAGCACCUCAAGUGGUCAGGAUGAUUAUUGGGCCUAAAGCAUCCGUAGCCUGCUCUGUAAGUUUUCGGUUAAAUCUGUACGCUCAACGUACAGGCUGCCGGGAAUACUGCAGAGCUAGGGAGUGGGAGAGGUAGACGGUACUCGGGAGGAAGUGGUAAAAUGCUUUGAUCUCUCGAUGACCACCUGUGGCGAAGGCGGUCUACCAGAACACGUCCGACGGUGAGGGAUGAAAGCUGGGAGAGCAAACCGGAUUAGAAACCCCAGUAGUCC
Molecule: ribosomal RNA, 274 nt
Filed under: uncultured bacterium
Lineage: Bacteria
Description: partial 16S ribosomal RNA
Rfam family: Archaeal small subunit ribosomal RNA
Source: RNAcentral